RNAcentral lists this transfer RNA (77 nucleotides) under Marmota monax (woodchuck). Its description in RNAcentral is "tRNA.Ala". Lineage: Eukaryota; Metazoa; Chordata; Mammalia; Rodentia; Sciuridae. The record is from RNAcentral.
CUGGGGAUGCAGCUCAGUGGUAGAGCACUUGCCUAGCAUGCAUGAGGCCCUGGCUGGCUUCAAUCCCUAGUACCAGA